AGCAGGGUCGUGCUCAGGGUGAUGUAGUUAGAUCGAGGCAGUGUCAGUGUAGACCCUGCAUUGCUGACACCGACCCGGUGCUGCCGUGCAGAAGCCAUCUCACACUGGCAGUGCAAUUGGUGCAAGCGCUCCUGGUGAGGCCGUGCACCGACACAAGGAGCGCGGUGUGGAUGUGCAAAAGCCGGCUAAGUCCCGCAGUGGCUGCACCGCCAGGCAACUCGGGGCAAUUCAUUUCAUCAUGCCGCCUUGCCCUUUAAGGGUUUUUCCCUCGGUCUGUUCCCGUAAGGAGCCGCUUCUCGCAGCUGGGCCAGGUGAGCCAGCUAGCCCCAAGGCUUGGCAGCUCAGCCAGGAGCUCCCUCCCACACUUUGCCCAGGCUUCGCCCCGGCUUCGGGCUUGCCUGGGGGGGCUGCCGCGCCGGCUGGAAGCAGGCGGGGCUCCGCGGGAGGGUCUGGCCAUCUGGCACUAAUUAAAACGCGCCCAGCCCCCGCACGUGGGUUUCCGGAGAUUGCACUGCCCCGGAGUUUUCCCCUUCAGCCCCUCAUCUGCCGCUAGCUACAGUAGCUUGAGCCCCCCUGGCCAGUAAAUUUCUGCCCCCCGCUCAGACCCUGACAGCCCCCGGCUGCGAUUUGCCCCACCCCCCCUUAAUCCUUUUAAACCCCUCCAAAGAGAAGGCAGCAAAUCGUAAGCAGAAGUGAGGGCAGUGGCAACAGGGAAGGUUACUGGGCAUGCUCAGUACACCCAAAGUAGGGAAAGGGGAGUAGGGUCUGUUUGCGUCGGUGUUGGGCUGCUUCCCUCCGCCUUGAUCUCCAGCUCUUCGCCUUCCCCGCGCACCUUCUCUGCCUCUCCGCUGCCCGGGGCCACGCCACGCCGCUCCUCUCUGCCCGUCCUGCCGAUCCCGCACCGGCUCCCCAGCCAUGGACCUCCCCAGCGCUGUGCCCUACGCCCGCCUGGAGAUCCCCAACCUCGACUCCGUGCCCUCCUACAAGUACUGGUCCAUCUUCAACAUCCUCUGCUGCUGCUUGCCCCUGGGGCUGGUCGCGGUCUUCUACUCGGGACAGGUGGAGGAGUGCCUAGCACGCAGAGAUAUUGCAGGAGCGAAGAGCGCCUCCAACACUGCAAGAACCAUCAACAUCCUCGCCGUGGUGAUCGGGCUGGCAUGCAUUGGUGUGACCAUAUUCUUUAUGAUCCAGAGAGUUCAGCUGCUCCAAGCAGCACAACCCACCCAGUCUCCCUUAUACUACAAUUUAGGCUGAGGCCAUGGUGCUGCCCCUCAGGCUUGGGGAGAUGAAACCACCACUGCAAAAANNNNNNNNNNNNNNNNNNNNNNNNNNNNNNNNNNNNNNNNNNNNNNNNNNNNNNNNNNNNNNNNNNNNNNNNACCUGGGAGCAGGGGCUGCACUGCAUGGGGGGAAGCUAGCAGGGGCUAUCGCCUCUCCCCCCCCCUGUAGCAGCUGCUGCUCUCCAGCCACCCAGGUCUGAAGACACAGCGGGAAGAGCAGUGGCUGGUGGCUGGGGGGCUAGCUCUGAAGGCAGCGCCACCAGCAGCAGUGGCCUGAGAGCAGCUCCUGACCCUGUGUCUUGGCCCAUCGGGGCACGCUGUCCAGGGCAGGUGGAGGGUCUGGGGCUCCCCACAGCUGCCUGUUCUGGCCUGGGUUCCAGGGCUCUUAGCCCCAGAGCUAGGUCCCCCAGCGUGGUGGCUAUUACUGGCUGCGAGCAGUUGAAGGGCAGUCACAGCCUGGCCAGGGGGCAGGUGGGGUCAGCAUUUAGGAGGAGCAAGGGUGGGGCUAUGGAGAGCCAGGGCUAUGGAGAGCCAGGGGCACAGCCCCCUCUUCCAGUCUCCUCCCCUCAAAUUCUUUCAGGCUUAGAUAAAAAGAUAAGUCUUGGGUCUAGCAGUGAUCUCUGGUAGCCACAUUCAUCCCCAGUCUCACCCUUUCCCCCAACGCAGCCUUCACUGGCUCUAGUCCUAGCAAGCUGUGUGCUUUAAACAGGUUACUAAGUGCCUGGUAGCUAAGACCACUACCGUUUUCCCACUAGCUUCUGGAGGAGAUGAUUGUAGUCAAUUACUGUGAGCUGUUCAGGGCUAAUUAAUGUAAUCACUUCUGUGUGAAAGUUUUGUAUCAACUCUUGUUAUAAAUGUAACUGAAAGAUUGGGAUAAAAACAUGUCUGUUUUACUUUGGCUAUGACACCACCACUUUGUAUGAUCAGUUUCAUAGUUGCUGCUAGGUAUGGCCUUUUGCCCACCACCACCAAAGCAAAAGAGAGGGAAUGGAUCGUAAAAGGCCAGAAAGUGGUAGGGGAGCUCAAAGGCAGAUAGGGAACCUUGAACUACUUGAAAUUCUUCGAGUCGAUUUCACUGUGUCUGUUAAGCACAGCACCUUGCCCUUCACAAGAGCUGAUGGAAGAGUUCAGAAGCACAGAUUAAGAAUAGGAGAAUGGAUUUUACAUGGUGCCUAUAUACUUUUUAGAAGAGGGGGGUUAUCUGUAAUCCGCUUAUUCCAAUGUUUCUAAAAAGCUUACAAAAACGUAAAUAAAUGUUUCCGAUACUGAAGAGCA
This is a long non-coding RNA of Chrysemys picta bellii (western painted turtle), 2554 nucleotides long. Lineage: Eukaryota; Metazoa; Chordata; Testudines; Emydidae. The record is from Ensembl.